AUGGAAGGGCCAUCGCUCAACGGAGAAAGGUACUCCGGGGAUAACAGGCUGAUACCGCCCAAGAGUUCAUAUCGACGGCGGUGUUUGGCACCUCGAUGUCGGCUCAUCACAUCCUGGGGCUGAAGUAGGUCCCAAGGGUAUGGCUGUUCGCCAUUUAAAGUGGUACGCGAGCUGGGUUUAGAACGUCGUGAGACAGUUCGGUCCCUAUCUGCCAUGGGCGCUGGAGAACUGAGGGGGGCUGCUCCUAGUACGAGAGGACCGGAGUGGACGCAUCACUGGUGUUCGGGUUGUCAUGCCAAUGGCACUGCCCGGUAGCUAAAUGCGGAAGAGAUAAGUGCUGAAAGCAUCUAAGCACGAAACUUGCCCCGAGAUGAGUUCUCCCUGACUCCCUGAGAGUCCUGAAGGAACGUUGAAGACGACGACGUUGAUAGGCCGGGUGUGUAAGCGCAGCGAUGCGUUGAGCUAACCGGUACUAAUGAACCGUGAGGCUUAACCUUACAACGCCGAAG
Molecule: ribosomal RNA, 509 nt
Filed under: Escherichia coli
Lineage: Bacteria; Pseudomonadati; Pseudomonadota; Gammaproteobacteria; Enterobacterales; Enterobacteriaceae
Description: partial 23S ribosomal RNA
Rfam family: Bacterial large subunit ribosomal RNA
Source: RNAcentral